GUGGAAUGAGAGUACCCUUUGGCAGCAUAGAAAACUCCAAUUUUCUUGGAAAAGGAGGACUCAGACCAUGUCCUUUACCUGCAUCAGAAGGUUGAAUUGGAGGGCCUUUUGGUAAUACACCAAACUUUGAUUUUGGUUGAAAUGAUAGAGGAGGUAGAUUUUUGCUAUGUCCCUUACUUGGACCAGAUGGUGGAAUUAGAGAUCUAGUUGAUAGCAUGUGGCCAAAUGUAGCCCCUCCUCCAUGAAACUGCCCAUGCUUCUCUCCUUUAUUUGUGAUGAGCUUACUUGCAUCUGGGGAGAAAGAGGCAAAGCCCAACACUAGCACAAGCACCAAGGCCACCACCAAUGACAAUUUUUGACAGGUUAGUGCCAUGCUCUUCUUCAUGAAUCUCUUGUUUUCUAUUUUUCCUUUUUGUUGCUUCUGAGUGAAAAUCAUGCCAUACUUGCUCAUAUAGGAAUUAGGUUAUACUUCACUAAGAAAUUCUUUAAAGUUUUUACUUUAUUUUCCUCAAGUGCUUGUUUGCUAUUUAAUAGCACUAUCAAUCCAAGUUAGGCUCUAUGCCAUUGUAUUUCAUCUGUAUAUUCGUCUGUAGCCAGUAAAGUAUGCCAUAUGAGGUUCACCAACUAUGGAAGCUUAUCAAAUGUUUUCUUCGUUGAAGGAUAGGAGGAAAUUUUAUCUUAAAGGAAAGUCAUUUUCACCCUACUAGCCUGGUAUUCAUAAAUAUGAGUUAUAAAUACAAAUUCGAUAUGAAUACAUAUUUAUGGUAAGUUUCCAUUGUGGCCGCAACAUUUGGUUGCAAGUGUCCUGUUGUAGUCUGUAGUCUUGUAGACUACCUAAGAAAAAAAAAAGUAGCAUCAUUUUGCAGUCCCGAAGCAUUCUAUUCUCCAUCAUUAGUCAUACCAAGUUAACAACUUUUGUAGCAAAGACUAAUCUUUUUAUUCAUCUUUCUCAUGAAACUACCAUUUCAUGGCUUCAUUUACAUACUCUACUUAAGCUUCUAGACCAACAAAGAAAAAAACUUGAGUUGAAAAUUUUCGCAUUCUACACUACAUAACCACUACCUCUGCUACUAGCUCAUCUAUCAACGAGUUCUCUACUUCCCUACCUAUUAUGUCUAUGUCGUCUCCCAAAUCCAACCACAGCGAGUCUCUUUCGAGCACUUUCUCCAGAUUGUCCUCAUUUGCGUUCUCUUCUUGGCUUGCCAGCAACUUGCACAGAACACCAUGGAGUACACUUCUAUGGAUCCACUUGGGACCAACUCUUUUGUUUGCAGGCCUCACCCAUGGGUGUGGAUCAGUGAAUUGCUCAAACAUCUCCAGAAGCCCUGAAUUUAUCCGGUCGAACAGUAAUCUCCUCUCAGGCUUUGGCCAAGAAGUCUGAUCAGAGUAUUUCUUCUCAAGCUCUUCGAACAGUAAAGGGCUCACAGGACAUUCUGGAGUGUGCCAUGUUGUCAAAAAGGUACCCGAGUCAGCACUGUUUAAACCAGAUUCAGUUAAAAUAUCGGCCAAGUACGAGGACUCCCAGCUCCCUUGAUCUCUAUGAAGUCCUAUUGCAUCUGAAAACCCAGUAGAUUCUUCACCAACUUCUUCAUCACUUGAGAUUUCCAUGGGUCCCUCUGCAUAUGGUUCUGACUCCAGCUUGAGUAGCUGAAGCUGCAUCCGAAGCCCUAACAACCAAAUAGAAUAUGAAAAUUAAGGCAAACAAAAGGAAUAGAUCAAUUAACUAAACGAAUGUGCAACACAGAAGGAAGAAAAGGUAAUCAUAGUCAUAAUAGAAGUCAAAACAGAUUCAGUUCAACAAAUUCAAUUGAUAUGGCGGACAAAAUUUCAACUCCCACCAACGACUACAGCCCACCUUAUCCAACAUCCACACUCAGAAAUUGCAAAAUCAACUGACUUCUCGCACAUGAUAUAAUUGGAAAGCAGCAAGGCAAUAGUUUAUUCUAUUCCAGCACCUACAUAUUCCAUAAGGAAACUAGCACUAGAAACCUAAAAAAUAAUCAAUAUAAAUGGUCUUCCAAUUACCUUGCAGGUCAGCAUUGAGACUCUCAAAGCAUUCAGGAGAAGAUGAUGCAUCAUCAGUGAAAGGAACUUCCAGAACGGAAACAGGACUGGGUUGAUCCGCCUCCUUAGUUCUUGCAGGCGAUUCUAUUCCAGGUACAGGGUGG
RNAcentral lists this long non-coding RNA (2168 nucleotides) under Prunus persica (peach). RNAcentral's name for it is "long non-coding RNA (PPER_LNC006621)". Lineage: Eukaryota; Viridiplantae; Streptophyta; Magnoliopsida; Rosales; Rosaceae. The record is from RNAcentral.